Molecule: ribosomal RNA, 439 nt
Filed under: Sinorhizobium terangae
Lineage: Bacteria; Pseudomonadati; Pseudomonadota; Alphaproteobacteria; Hyphomicrobiales; Rhizobiaceae
Description: partial 16S ribosomal RNA
Source: RNAcentral
UCGGUGUGUACAAGGCCCGGGAACGUAUUCACCGCGGCAUGCCGAUCCGCGAUUACUAGCGAUUCCAACUUCAUGCACUCGAGUUGCAGAGUGCAAUCCGAACUGAGAUGGCUUUUGGAGAUUAGCUCGACAUCGCUGUCUCGCUGCCCACUGUCACCACCAUUGUAGCACGUGUGUAGCCCAGCCCGUAAGGGCCAUGAGGACUUGACGUCAUCCCCACCUUCCUCUCGGCUUAUCACCGGCAGUCCCCUUAGAGUGCCCAACUGAAUGCUGGCAACUAAGGGCGAGGGUUGCGCUCGUUGCGGGACUUAACCCAACAUCUCACGACACGAGCUGACGACAGCCAUGCAGCACCUGUCUCCGAUCCAGCCGAACUGAAGGAAAACAUCUCUGUAAUCCGCGAUCGGGAUGUCAAGGGCUGGUAAGGUUCUUCGCGUUA